Molecule: transfer RNA, 76 nt
Filed under: Erysipelotrichaceae bacterium
Lineage: Bacteria; Bacillati; Bacillota; Erysipelotrichia; Erysipelotrichales; Erysipelotrichaceae
Description: tRNA-Phe
Rfam family: tRNA
About the family: Transfer RNA (tRNA) molecules are approximately 80 nucleotides in length. Their secondary structure includes four short double-helical elements and three loops (D, anti-codon, and T loops).
Source: RNAcentral
GGCUCGAUAGCUCAGUUGGUAGAGCAAAGGACUGAAAAUCCUUGUGUCGCCGGUUCGAUUCCGGCUUGAGCCACCA